AAUGAACGCUGGCGGCAUGCCUAACACAUGCAAGUCGAACGAAGGCUUCGGCCUUAGUGGCGCACGGGUGCGUAACGCGUGGGAAUCUGCCCUUGGGUUCGGAAUAACUCAGAGACAUUUGAGCUAAUACCGGAUGAUGUCGAAAGACCAAAGAUUUAUCGCCCAAGGAUGAGCCCGCGUAGGAUUAGCUAGUUGGUGGGGUAAAGGCCCACCAAGGCGACGAUCCUUAGCUGGUCUGAGAGGAUGAUCAGCCACACUGGGACUGAGACACGGCCCAGACUCCUACGGGAGGCAGCAGUGGGGAAUAUUGGACAAUGGGCGAAAGCCUGAUCCAGCAAUGCCGCGUGAGUGAUGAAGGCCUUAGGGUUGUAAAGCUCUUUUACCCGGGAUGAUAAUGACAGUACCGGGAGAAUAAGCUCCGGCUAACUUCGUGCCAGCCGCCGCCGUAA
Molecule: ribosomal RNA, 449 nt
Filed under: uncultured bacterium
Lineage: Bacteria
Description: partial 16S ribosomal RNA
Rfam family: Bacterial small subunit ribosomal RNA
Source: RNAcentral